CAGUAGCCACGGUAAUACGUAGGUGGCAAGCGUUGUCCGGAAUUAUUGGGCGUAAAGGGCUCGCAGGCGGUUUCUUAAGUCUGAUGUGAAAGCCCCCGGCUCAACCGGGGAGAGUCAUUGGAAACUGGGAAACUUGAGUGCAGAAGAGGAGAGUGGAAUUCCACGUGUAGCGGUGAAAUGCGUAGAGAUGUGGAGGAACACCAGUGGCGAAGGCGACUCUCUGGUCUGUAACUGACGCUGAGGAGCGAAAGCGUGGGGAGCGAACAGGAUUAGAUACCCCCGUAGUCCCUGUCUCUUAUAC
RNAcentral lists this ribosomal RNA (301 nucleotides) under uncultured bacterium. Its description in RNAcentral is "partial 16S ribosomal RNA". It matches the Rfam family "Bacterial small subunit ribosomal RNA", at positions 509 to 807 of the family's 1533-position model. The record is from RNAcentral.